Molecule: long non-coding RNA, 1332 nt
Organism: Vigna unguiculata (cowpea)
Lineage: Eukaryota; Viridiplantae; Streptophyta; Magnoliopsida; Fabales; Fabaceae
Source: RefSeq, a predicted model, not a curated record
AAUUGCAGAAAGGGUUUUAAAGUUGUGUUAAGGAAAGGAGCGAAAAUGUCAUUUUCCCCAAAUUUUUCCCUUUCCCCUCACAAACGCAUCUUCAGAAACCCUCGCUUUCUUCACUGCAUCGCAACGCAAUCGCAAGGUCCACGAUUUCCCCUUCUUUGGCCUCUGCAUUGCGAAAUAGGGUAGUUUUCCCUUUGAUUGCGAAGCUAAGCAUUGCAAAACACUCCUCCCCUGCAAUUGCUAAUCUAUAUUUGACGGCGAUUGUGGGGGUGAUUGCAAUAGUGAAUCUGGCAAUGAUUGCAGCGGUGAUUGCAAAGCGCAUCCUGAGAUUGCGAAGCGUCCCGAUUUUGUGUCCAUUCGAGCCAUUCCAACUGCAUUGGUGACUAUACCUGAUGUUGAAGGUGAUCAUGUUGGUAGGAGUUUUGGGUGGAGGUGAAGCUUCUUAGGUGGAACUGAAAUCCUUCAACCUUUGGUGAAGCUUUAGGAAAUUGAAUCUUUGUUGAAGCUUCUUGGCUGGUGUUGUGAUUGGAACAAAUGGUUCUUUGAAUCAUUGGGGUGAAGCAAAGGCUUUUGGAAUCAAUUGGUCUUUCCAACUACACGAAAUAUGAUUUGGCUAUUUGGAUUGAUUUUGAAAUAGGAUCGAGAGGGGUUAGAGCUGAUGCUGAGAAUCAUAUCCCAGAAACAUGUAAUGCUACGAUAAACCAGCACAUAUCAAACAAGGCAAGGUCAAUUAACAAAAAACUUCGAGCAUGAUCUUUUAGUUGAAUUCUUAGGAAAGGUAAAUCUUCCUUUAUUUGACUUUUUACUCGUGUGUUUGCAAUGGUAAAAAAUGUUUGUAUGUUGUGUUUAAUAUCUACUAUUUUCCAGUGUGCACUUGAUCAUACACUUUUGAGUUGUGAUGCAUCAAUUUGAGGAUAGUCUGUGUUUUUUUAUUGUCAUGGCAAUGCUUGAUUUGUUUGCGCUUUUCUAUAAGUCAAUUGUGGUGGUAAAUUCUAGAUUCAAUUAUGCAUAUUUUCUUAUGCAUCGGCUAAGCGCACGAAAGUUGUUUUAAAUAUUUUAUUUUGUUCAUAUAAUGUGUGGGCUUAAUCAAGAAGCAACCAUGCGUCCCCAAUUGACCGACACAAAGAGUCUUUGCAUCCCUGAAAUUAGCGUUGCACCCCUAUCGUCGCUAGACCGACGCCAACUUGCUAUUGGAGUCGGUUUUGCCCCAGUUACGUCUUGUUUUGGCCAACACUAUAUGGCUGCAUUCUUGUAGUGAUUAGUUAAAAUUUUCAUAAUUUCUUUCACUAGAAAACAAUUUCAAUGUAAUAAAUAACAAAAUAUAAGUAAUUGAAG